AUGAGGUGCCUUGCUCAGUUCCUUGGGAUGCUUGUGCUCUGGAUCCCUGGAGCCCUUGGGGAUAUUGUGAUGACCCAGGCUGCACACUCCAUACCUGUCACUCCUGGAGAGUCAGUUUCCCUCUCCUGCAAGUCUAGUAAGAGUCUCCUGUAUAGUGAUGGCAAGACAUAUUUGAAUUGGUACCUGCAGAGGCCAGGCCAGUCUCCUCAGCUUCUAAUCUAUCUCACAUCUACUCAUGCCUCUGGAGUCCCAGAUAGACUCAGUGGCAGUGGGUCAACAACAGACUUCACACUGAGUUUCAGUAGAGUGAAAGCUAAGGAUAUGGGUAUUUAUUUUUGUCAGCAAGGUCUAGAAUUUCCUCUCACGGUGAUACAUUCAUGA
Molecule: non-coding RNA, 381 nt
Organism: Arvicanthis niloticus (Nile rat)
Lineage: Eukaryota; Metazoa; Chordata; Mammalia; Rodentia; Muridae
Source: the annotation of a RefSeq genome assembly